GUCUACGGCCAUGCCACCCUGAACGUGCCCAAUCCCGUCUGAUCUCAGAAGCUAAGCAGGGUCAGGCCUGGUUAGUACUUGGAUGGGAAACCAUCUAGGACUACCAGGUGGUGUAGGCA
RNAcentral lists this ribosomal RNA (119 nucleotides) under Pteropus alecto (black flying fox). Lineage: Eukaryota; Metazoa; Chordata; Mammalia; Chiroptera; Pteropodidae. RNAcentral also lists the same sequence under 1 other name. The record is from RNAcentral.